This 1696-nucleotide long non-coding RNA is filed under the name Homo sapiens (human). RNAcentral describes it as "HSALNT0305431". The record is from RNAcentral. Lineage: Eukaryota; Metazoa; Chordata; Mammalia; Primates; Hominidae.
CUUCUUCCUGCUCCCUUGUGCCCCAUUUGGACUUCACUCGUAACAAGGGAGUAUAACUGGAUGGUAAAAGGGACUUUUCCUGUUAUCUAGACAUUUCAGCAGAGGCCUCAAAGGCAGAACAAAAUAGUGCAAGGAGCCGCACAUCCGCACAGUGCUGAGACCCUGCCCAGGACAAGCUUGACAAAAAAGAAGAAAAUUGGGUCUUGUUAUGUUGCCCAGGCUGGUCUCCAACUCCUGGCCUCAAGUGAUCCUCCCAGCUUGUCCUUCCAAAGUGUUGGGAUUAUAGGUGUGAGCCACUGUGCCUGGCCAUGUCUGAAUGUUGAAUGUUGACAGCUUCAGUGAAUUGACCCCUCUUUCACCUAUGGGACUUAUGAAGAGAGAAUCUUUCUGGCAUUGCAUAAUCCUUCCCAAGAGUACUUUAGCUGUGGUAACCCUUCUUGUUAUAAAACAUGCCAGGUAUGAUGAUGGAGAUCAGCUGAGCUGGACUUAGAAUCUUCUCUAAGAACAUUUACAGGCACUCAGUGUUAACAGCAGGGCAGAUGUAGGUUUCUGGGAACCUGAGGCUUAUAGGAACUGGAGUUCAUUGUAAGAAAAAGAAUAUCAAAUUAUGAAGACAAAAUUAGGCAUCAAUGUGAAUAUUAAUUUAGGAGAAAUCACAACAAAUCGCACAUCCUGAAAAGCUAACAAAUACUGCAUACAUCGCAGAAUCUAGAAGCAUAACAAUAUUUGUAUUGGUUAACUUGGACAUAUCACUAUAGUAUGCUUUUUUUCUACAUUUUGGGCUAUAUUUUUUUCCUAUUCUUUUUGGUUGAUGUCCUUGUAGUAGUGGCUACAUGUUAGUAGGCACUAACCCUAGUAGUAACUAAUCCUAGUAGUAGGGUUCAUGUUAUUGUUGUCGAUGUCUGUAUUUUGUGAUCAAAUCACCAAGACUGCAAAUCCUUCUUUCAACAUAUUCAUAUGAUUCACUCCCCUUCAUUAAAUUGGGUUAUUCAAACAAUUAUGCUCCAAAUUUAUCUCUUCCUCUUAAUCAAGUACUACUUUGGCAUGAUCUGAUUUUUAUAAUUAUUCUCUCUUCUCAUCUUUAUUAUUUAUAUUUUCUUAGCUAUUAUGAUUCUUCUUCUCAAUUUCAUGCUUUUGUCUAUCAGGCUUUUUAGCUUCUGUUGUGAUAGAACAAAAGAGUUUUUGACAUUUUGUAACUUCUUCCAGUCUUUUAUCUUUCAGUUUUUGUCUGAGACUUCUACUAGGAUGUUUUCUUCUCAACACGCUUGAUUUUUGUAUAGUUAAUAAUUUUGAAAUAAAGGCAUUCUCAAGAGCAGUUCAAAUGCACUUGAAAAUUGCUGAAAUGUAUUGAGUUGCAUAUUGCAUAAUCAAAUUACUUUUUUGCCACAUAGACUGAUCUAUUGGUGAGUAUGUGUAGGGGUUUCAUUACCCUGGAGUCCUUUUUCUUUGCUUUUUUUCCCCUUUCUUUCCAUUUCUGUGGCAAUUUGGUGAACAGUUUCAUCAGGAAGUGUGAGACUUCAUAAGGGCAAGAGGAUCAGAUAGAUACUCUAAGGGUGAUCCGUUCAGUUUGCACAAUAAAUCUGUGGAAGACAUCAUAUGUACAGUGGAAUCUUCUUUCUUUGCAGAGAAAAGUGGACAAGCAUCCAAUUUCCAAAUCAAUUCUUGGGAUAAAUUGGUAUAACUUGUUGGAAAGCAG